UGUUUUUAAUGUUUUUGUGUUUUCAGUAUAUCACUUUCCAUCCUAUUAGUAUUUUGUAGGAUCCAUUUAACUAACAAAAGGCAGUUCCUGAAUGACAUCGUCCUGCAGGAAGUGACAUCAUUUUGGAGGGAAAACAGUAGUACGAAUAUCAUAAGGGGGCGUUUGACACCAGUGUAGGUGAAGAACUCUCCCCGCUGUGCUCCAUUUGGUGCCGUCCUUCACCUCGGCCACUGACCGGACGGCCAUCGACCCGCACAGCUCCUCACAGACGGCCAACAAAUGCUGCCACAAAUGGAUCUAAUUGGCACCUCUGCAUGCCCCGUUCAGAGGAGGGCAGAGAUCAGGCUACAACUGCACCAGAACCUGCAUGUCUGCUGCUAACAGAUCCCAUCCUGAGCUCUCAUUCAGGGAACAAUCAC
Long non-coding RNA from Cyprinus carpio carpio, 419 nucleotides. The record is from Ensembl. Lineage: Eukaryota; Metazoa; Chordata; Actinopteri; Cypriniformes; Cyprinidae.